RNAcentral lists this ribosomal RNA (468 nucleotides) under uncultured bacterium. RNAcentral describes it as "partial 16S ribosomal RNA". The stretch from base 48 to 468 matches the Rfam family "Bacterial small subunit ribosomal RNA", at positions 38 to 507 of the family's 1533-position model. The record is from RNAcentral.
GGGGGGGGGGGGGGGGGGGGGGGGGGGGUGGGGGGGGGGGGGGGGGGGGGGGCGUGGGUGGGGUGGUCGGGUGGCGGACGGGGGAGUGGGACGUGAGGGGCCUGCGCUUGCCGGUGGGGUGACGUCAGGAGACUGGGGCUAAGACCGGGUACGAGCUCCUUCUGCCUGGGUGGGGUUGGACAGUUUCGGUGGUUGGGGAUGGACGCGCGGCUUAUCAGCUGGUGGGGGGGGGAGUGGCUUACCCAGGCGUUGCUGGGUAGCCGGCCUGAGAGGGUGACCGGCCCCAUUGGGACUGAGAUACGGCCCAGACUCCUACGGGAGGCAGCAGUGGGGAAUAUUGCACAAUGGGCGGAAGCCUGAUGCAGCAACGCCGCGUGCGGGAUGACGGCCUUCCGGUUGUAAACCGCUGUCGCCUGUGACGAAGCGUGAGUGACGGUAAUGGGUAAAGAAGCACCGGCUAACUACGUG